Molecule: ribosomal RNA, 634 nt
Filed under: uncultured crenarchaeote
Lineage: Archaea; Thermoproteati; Thermoproteota
Description: bacterial SSU rRNA
Rfam family: Archaeal small subunit ribosomal RNA
Source: RNAcentral
CGAGUCAUUGUAGCAAUACAAGGCAGACGGCUCAGUAACGCGUAGCCAUCUAACCUAUGGACGGGGAUAACCUCGGGAAACUGAGACCCUACCCGAUAGAUCAUCAUGCCUGGAAUGGCCGAUGGUUGAAAUGAUUUAUCGCCAUAGGAUGGGACUGCGAUCUAUCAGCUUGUUGGUGAGGUAAUGGCCCACCAAGGCUAUAACAGAUACGGGCUCUGAGAGGAGAAGCCCGGAGAUGGGUACUGAGACACGGACCCAGGCCCUAUGGGGCGCAGCAGGCGAGAAAACUUUGCAAUGUGCGAAAGCACGACAAGGUUAAUCCGAGUGGUUCCUGCUAAAGGAACCUUUUGCCGGUCCUAAAAACACCGGUGAAUAAGGGGUGGGCAAGUUCUGGUGUCAGCCGCCGCGGUAAAACCAGCACCUCAAGUGGUCAGGAGGAUUAUUGGGCCUAAAGCAUCCGUAGCCGGCUGUGUAAGUUUUCGGUUAAAUCCAUGCGCUCAACGUAUGGGCUGCCGGGAAUACUGCACAGCUAGGGAGUGGGAGAGGUAGACGGUACUCGGUAGGGAGGGGUAAAAUCCACUGAUCUAUCGAUGACCACCUGUGGCGAAGGCGGUCUACUAGAACACGUCCGACG